AUAAUGUUAUUUCAGACAAAAACACAAUUCAUUCAGGGAAGAUCUAAACGAUGGCAUCAGAAAUAUAUGAUAUUGAAUUAAUGGAAAAUGAAUUGGCCAAAUUAUAUACUUAUACACAGACAAUACAAGUUGGAGAAGAGAAUUUGAAGACCGAUGAUGCCAUUAAGAAUGCAGAAUCCCAUAUCAAUGGCUAUAUUCAGAAUGCUUUAAAUGAUCACAGUUUAAGCAGCGAAGCUCACCCCAACAUACAAAUCCCUUUCUAUGAUGCAGGUUUAAAUAUCGAGAAAAAUGAUUGUUACCACACACGUAUAUACACGAUCAGUUUUAAUAUUCUCUCUGUUAAGUUUUGGAACGAUAAAGUUAGGAAGAAACUGGUUGAUUUAUAUUUCGGAGCCCUUCUACAAAAUGUUAUCUCAGCGAAACUGGUGUCUGAAAAAGUUGUCGAAUCACUGAAAGCAUUUAAACGUGACCCUACUUCACACGAUGCUCUUACUCAGGAUGUAGAGCCCGGAUGUUCCAAUAUUCCAGGCGAUAACUGCUGGGAGAAGUUUUUGAAUUAUUGGCUAGUUGUUCCACGGGUGCAGUGGGAUUUUUUUCGAUCUUCUUUACCAGAUGUAUACGUUCGAUAUUUUCCACCAAGGUUUUAUACCAAAAUAUGUACAUUUUUUCACUAUAUCAACGAAUGUUAUGCUUUCGAUGAUGUUCUUGGCUCAGUUCAAUAUUCCAUCCUUAGGGGAACUCCGAUAUUGAAAUGCAUUUUCUGUUAACUUUGAACUCGUUUUAUUUUUUGUCCUAGGCUUGGCGUACAUAAUCAUGGGAAUCCUUCGGAAGAGCUGGGCGUGGGGUCUUGCAACGUUUCUGGUUCUGAGAGUUUUAAACAUGACGGGAAAUCUAUGGUAUUACAGUUAUCGUACCAAAGGCAACUCAUGGUACAACCCAACCAAUCUGUAUACGCAUCCGUUAAUUUGGAGCUACGCAAUGUCUGUAAUACAGGCUUCGUCGCAUAUGAUUGUUCCGCAAAUGGCACCUAACAUAACAGGAGUUCAACACUGGGAAUCCUUGCAUAUGUUUUUCAUGAUGAAAAGGAAAGAGACAGCAUCAACAAUUAAACAUAUAUGCUUUGUUAUCCUGUCUUUGCUAUUAUUUUCAAUUUUAUCAGUCGCUGUUGCCUGGUUUUCAUGGCCACAUUUAAUUGGAACGGAGGUUAUCUAUAUUAUGGCAAGCAUAGGAUACAGACCGAAAUUUUUUGAGAAAUAUUUCAGAAUUGUGGAAAAGGUUGAACUGCAUGGAAACCCUAUAAUAGACACUUUCCCUACAGAUCACAAAGACAUAAAAAUGACUUUACCUGCGCAUGUGGAAGCAAUGAAGGAAAAUGGGAUAAUAUCCGAAAACGCUUCUGACUGUGAGGUUUUUGCAAGUAUUGCAACAUUAAAGUUGGCAUCCAUGUAUCUUAGGCGAGGAGUGAAGAAAUCAAAUGUAAAAAAGAGGAAAACGCAGAAAAAUGCUGUCAAUGAGAUGCCUGUGACUGCUCAAGUUAAUGACGAAUGCAAACAUUUGGAUGUUUUGCUAGCCGCAAGAAAAGGCUUUAUUGGGAAAUGCAAUAAAAGUAAAUAGAUCUAGAAUCAUUGAAGAGUAUAGUUUAGCACUUCGAUGACAGUUUUUGUGUGAAUUGUCACGAUAUGUCUCAGUGCCUCGCAGACAUGCGUAUUAAAUUUUAUUAUUCA
Molecule: long non-coding RNA, 1724 nt
Organism: Mytilus californianus (California mussel)
Lineage: Eukaryota; Metazoa; Mollusca; Bivalvia; Mytilida; Mytilidae
Exons: 3
Source: RefSeq, a predicted model, not a curated record